AAACUUACCUGGAUGGGUGGUGAUCAGGGCGAUCUAUGGCCGAGGGUGGUGGCCCCCAUUGCACUUGGGAGGCACCACGCUAAGGUCUCCUCAAGCAGGCAGGAGAGCCUACGUCAUAAUUUGUGGUAGUGGGGGCAUGUGUUUGUGCAGCCCCUAC
Mangifera indica (mango) is the source of this 157-nucleotide small nuclear RNA. RefSeq annotates it as U1 spliceosomal RNA. The record is from RefSeq and is a predicted model, not a curated record. NCBI's taxonomy places the organism in Eukaryota, Viridiplantae, Streptophyta, Magnoliopsida, Sapindales, Anacardiaceae. The transcript has a single exon.